AAGUCGUAACAAGGUUUCCGUAGGUGAACCUGCGGAAGGAUCAUUAACGAGUAAGGGUCGUCCGGGCCUGACCUCCAACCCUUUGUUUACCAAACCAUGUUGCUUUGGCGGGCCCGCCCCUCGUGGGCCGCCGGCGGUGUCACCACCUCUGGCCUGCGCCCGCCAAUAGCCUUCUAAAAUUCUCUGAACUGUGUUUGUCUGAGCCUAAAUAAAAAUUGUUAAAACUUUCAACAACGGAUCUCUUGGUUCUG
Molecule: unclassified non-coding RNA, 251 nt
Filed under: Chaetothyriales sp.
Lineage: Eukaryota; Fungi; Ascomycota; Eurotiomycetes; Chaetothyriales
Description: partial contains small subunit ribosomal RNA, internal transcribed spacer 1, and 5.8S ribosomal RNA
Rfam family: Eukaryotic small subunit ribosomal RNA (bases 1-46)
Source: RNAcentral